This 189-nucleotide ribosomal RNA is filed under the name Triticum aestivum (bread wheat). Its description in RNAcentral is "partial small subunit ribosomal RNA". The record is from RNAcentral. Lineage: Eukaryota; Viridiplantae; Streptophyta; Magnoliopsida; Poales; Poaceae.
AUGGCGAUCCGGAAGGCAUUAGCCUCCCUUACCAUGCUAACUUGUUGGACCAUUUGGUACGAGAGAAAUGCUAGGGUAUUCCGCCACAAGUCUUCCCUCCCGUCCAUCCUACUAGCAAACAUUCAAUGCGAGGCCAUCCUUUGGGUCACCGCUGGCACAAAACACGGCUAUAUCAUGUCGGGAGAGUAA